CUCCCGCUAUUGGAUGAGCCUAUGUCGGAUUAGCUAGUUGGUGAGGUAAUGGCUCACCAAGGCGACGAUCCGUAGCUGGUCUGAGAGGAUGAUCAGCCACAUCGGGACUGAGACACGGCCCGAACUCCUACGGGAGGCAGCAGUGGGGAAUAUUGGACAAUGGGGGCAACCCUGAUCCAGCCAUGCCGCGUGUGUGAAGAAGGCCCUCGGGUUGUAAAGCACUUUCAGUGAGGAAGAACGCCUAUUGGUUAAUACCCGUUAGGAAAGACAUCACUCGCAGAAGAAGCACCGGCUAACUCCGUGCCAGCAGCCGCGGUAAUACGGAGGGUGCAAGCGUUAAUCGGAAUUACUGGGCGUAAAGCGCGCGUAGGUGGCUUGAUAAGCCGGUUGUGAAAGCCCCGGGCUCAACCUGGGAACGGCAUCCGGAACUGUCAGGCUAGAGUGCAGGAGAGGAAGGUAGAAUUCCCGGUGUAGCGGUGAAAUGCGUAGAGAUCGGGAGGAAUACCAGUGGCGAAGGCGGCCUUCUGGACUGACACUGACACUGAGGUGCGAAAGCGUGGGUAGCAAACAGGAUUAGAUACCCUGGUAGUCCACGCCGUAAACGAUGUCGACCAGCCGUUGGGUGCCUAGAGCACUUUGUGGCGAAGUUAACGCGAUAAGUCGACCGCCUGGGGAGUACGGCCGCAAGGUUAAAACUCAAAUGAAUUGACGGGGGCCCGCACAAGCGGUGGAGCAUGUGGUUUAAUUCGAUGCAACGCGAAGAACCUUACCUACCCUUGACAUCCACAGAAUUCGGAAGAGAUUCAUGUGUGCCUUCGGGAACUCUGAGACAGGUGCUGCAUGGCUGUCGUCAGCUCGUGUUGUGAAAUGUUGGGUUAAGUCCCGUAACGAGCGCAACCCUUGUCCUUAUUUGCCAGCGCGUAAUGUCGGGAACUCUAAGGAAACUGCCGGUGACAAACCGGAGGAAGGUGGGGACAACGUCAAGUCAUCAUGGCCCUUACGGGUAGGGCUACACACUUGCUACAAUGGCCGGUACAAAGGGCUGCGAGCUCGCAAGAGUCACCGAAUCCCUUAAAGCCGGUCUCAGUCCGGAUCGGAGUCUGCAACUCGACUCCGUGAAGUCGGAAUCGCUAGUAAUCGUGAAUCAAAAUGUCACGGUGAAUACGUUCCCGGGCCUUGUACACACCGCCCGUCACACCAUGGAAGUGGACUGCACCAG
This 1219-nucleotide ribosomal RNA is filed under the name uncultured bacterium. Its description in RNAcentral is "bacterial SSU rRNA". It matches the Rfam family "Bacterial small subunit ribosomal RNA", at positions 212 to 1423 of the family's 1533-position model. The record is from RNAcentral.